UACAGAGGGCUCAAGCGUUGUUCGGAUUCAUUGGGCGUAAAGGGUGCGUAGGUGGCGUCGUAAGUCAGGUGUGAAAUCUCGGAGCUUAACUCCGAAAUUGCAUUUGAUACUGCGGUGCUUGAGGACUGGAGAGGAGACUGGAAUUUACGGUGUAGCAGUGAAAUGCGUAGAGAUCGUAAGGAAGACCAGUGGCGAAGGCGGGUCUCUGGACAGUUCCUGACACUGAGGCACGAAGGCCAGGGGAGCAAACGGG
Molecule: ribosomal RNA, 253 nt
Filed under: uncultured bacterium
Lineage: Bacteria
Description: partial 16S ribosomal RNA
Rfam family: Bacterial small subunit ribosomal RNA
Source: RNAcentral